RNAcentral lists this transfer RNA (65 nucleotides) under Amblyjoppa sp. ZJUH_2016002. RNAcentral's name for it is "tRNA-Leu". Lineage: Eukaryota; Metazoa; Arthropoda; Insecta; Hymenoptera; Ichneumonidae. The record is from RNAcentral.
UCUAUUAUGGCAGAAUAGUGCAUUGAAUUUAAACUUCAAAUAUAAAAAAAUAUUUUUUUUUAGAA